GCAUCGGUGGUUCAGUGGUAAAAUUCCCGCCUGCCACGCGGGGGACCCGGGCACAAUUCCCGGCCGAUGCA
Molecule: transfer RNA, 71 nt
Filed under: Anneissia japonica
Lineage: Eukaryota; Metazoa; Echinodermata; Crinoidea; Comatulida; Comatulidae
Description: tRNA-Gly
Rfam family: tRNA
About the family: Transfer RNA (tRNA) molecules are approximately 80 nucleotides in length.
Source: RNAcentral